This 189-nucleotide ribosomal RNA is filed under the name uncultured Streptococcus sp. RNAcentral describes it as "partial 16S ribosomal RNA". It matches the Rfam family "Bacterial small subunit ribosomal RNA", at positions 1193 to 1382 of the family's 1533-position model. Lineage: Bacteria; Bacillati; Bacillota; Bacilli; Lactobacillales; Streptococcaceae. The record is from RNAcentral.
UCAUGCCCUUAUGACCUGGGCUACACACGUGCUACAAUGGUUGGUACAACGAGUUGCGAGUCGGUGACGGCGAGCUAAUCUCUUAAAGCCAAUCUCAGUUCGGAUUGUAGGCUGCAACUCGCCUACAUGAAGUCGGAAUCGCUAGUAAUCGCGGAUCAGCACGCCGCGGUGAAUACGUUCCCGGGCCUU